ACGGUAAGUACCGAGGCUAAUACCGCAUAAUACCCACGGGUCAAAGGAGCAAUUCGCUUGAGGAGGAGGUCGCGGCCGAUUAGUUAGUUGGCGGGGUAAUGGCCCCACCAAGACGGUGAUCGGUAUCCGGCCUGAGAGGGCGCACGGACACACUGGAACUGAAACACGGUCCAGACUCCUACGGGAGGCAGCAGUGGGGAAUUUUGCGCAAUGGGGGAAACCCUGACGCAGCAACGCCGCGUGGAGGAUGAAGUCUCUUGGGACGUAAACUCCUUUCGAUCGGGACGAUUAUGACGGUACCGGAAGAAGAAGCCCCGGCUAACUUCGUG
This 329-nucleotide ribosomal RNA is filed under the name uncultured bacterium. Its description in RNAcentral is "bacterial SSU rRNA". It matches the Rfam family "Bacterial small subunit ribosomal RNA", at positions 149 to 507 of the family's 1533-position model. The record is from RNAcentral.